Molecule: long non-coding RNA, 240 nt
Filed under: Homo sapiens (human)
Lineage: Eukaryota; Metazoa; Chordata; Mammalia; Primates; Hominidae
Description: long non-coding RNA NONHSAT154950.1
Source: RNAcentral
ACCAACUCAGCCAAUGUGUCAGUUGACCAAACUAUCUGAGCGAGCCAGGGAAGAUCAGCAAAAGAACCACCCGGCUGAACCCAGCCCAAACUGCAGGCCCUCAGAAUGGUGAGCUGAGCCACAACUGUCCUUCUAACCUCUCAAGUUUUGUAUACCACAAAACUGAUAUUCAAUGUGAUAUGUAAACAUUCCCUCUCCCCGGAAAAGGUGUUCUAUCUAAAAACAUUCUACACCUAGAUC